RNAcentral lists this unclassified non-coding RNA (1728 nucleotides) under Hevea brasiliensis (rubber tree). Lineage: Eukaryota; Viridiplantae; Streptophyta; Magnoliopsida; Malpighiales; Euphorbiaceae. The record is from RNAcentral.
AAAUAUAUUUAUAGAUUGGUAAAUGAAUUGGCAAAGGGCCAAAUGCAGAACGAAGAAACAAGCAAGCUAUGCACAGUAUCCAGCUUAACUUCUAAGAAACAAGAUUUACAAAUUUUCCCAUUUCCAUGUUUGAAACAUCAGGAUAUAGACCCAUCCUGCUAGAACAUAAUCUAUAUAUAAUACAUCAUUAUCCCAACCCAUUCGAGAAUAAUGAUUUUUCAUGUAUGUGUCUUUUCUGGAGCUAAGAAAUCCUGACAUCCCUAGCCAGGGGAAACAACCAGAAGUUGUCUGUUGACAGCGAUGGAAAAAUUCAAAUGAAGACCUGGCGUUCUGCUGGGCAAAAUCCAGUACAGUAUAUUGCUUGGUGAACAUCUUUGGGGCAGCUCGAAAUUAGCUUGAGCAUCUUGUUCAAGCAUCGUCAAAAAAACAAGAAGGAAUAUCUGGAGGAUGCAAUGCAGCCACGCACUUGUACUUGUGAUUCAUAUAUUUUUCUCUUAAUGCCCGCCCAGUUGCUUCCAUUAAACUAGAUUGCAACUCAUGGAUAACGAGAACACAAUCCUUCAGUUCAGAUGGUUUAUAACCUGUACAUUGUUGAAGUGCCAAAGUCCAUGGGCAGACUUCAGGCAACACAGUAAACCUUGAUAGAAAGAUAGCUGAAGCAGCAGUCAUUGAUGGCAAGAACCGCACACAACUAUAAUCUAACAAACUCAGUUCCGCAAGAUAACAGCUUAAGAACUCAAAUUGCAAAGUUAAAAAAGAUAAAUUAUCUUGGGCAGCCUUCAAAAAGAUUCUGAGAAAUGUUAUUGUGGUGGGACUACUGAUCUCAAAAUUCAGAAAACUGAGCAAAUCUCUCUCCAUAUUCACUACCUCUUCUCUGGUGUAUGUAUUGUCUGUAAUGUAACAAAAAUCUUCAACAUGAGGCGGACUGAUCUCUUCAUACUUUGAUGCAACAAGCAUGCAAGAUACACCGAGAAGCUGAAGCUUUUCCAUGGCUAAAACGUGAGAAGACAAAAAUCUGUCGAUGUAUGACACUGCAAGAUACAGGGUGUCUGAAACAAGUUUGUAUUCUUCUGUAACCUCCACCAACCAAUCAACUAAAACCGUACGCAUAGAAGGAAUCACGUUAUUCUGAACCUUCUCCAUGUAGUUGGACAAAGGCCUCCUUCUUUCCUCAACCUCCAAGGAGUGAAGAUGCUGAUAAAUAAGAGGACCAUAAGAACAUUUCUGCAGAUUAUCUUUAGGACUAGAAUUAGCACUAGUCUCGAGCUCGACAGUUUCUUUAACUACAUUUCUGGUUUUUCUCAACUUGAUUUUGCGUUUGGAUUCGUGGGUUUCUGUCAAAUCUGAAUUUUGAGUCGACACUAUAACAUUGCCCAAGUUGUUAAGCUCCCCCAAAACAACCCUUUUCUUGUUCGCGGGGUAUGGUCUCUCUGAAAUUUGCAGUGGAUCAUUUUCAUUGGUUAUGGCUAUGGAAUCAAAAGCCCGUUUGUUGGAUCCUCUACUGGCGGCGGCGGUGGCGGGAACCUUAUUCUCCUCGUCGACCAUUUUGACAACAAAUGAUUUAGGAUGUGGUUUGGCGAAUUUAGGGUUUACUACGGUGAAGGGCGAAUUGAAGAACAGUGGCGCUUUUCUCUAUUCAGUUUUUCGUAGCAAAGGCCACAGAAUUCAGAUGCAUUUCCACCAUUUCAAGAGGAUGAGAUAUUUCAUUUGAUUACAGUUUUGAGUAUA